GAACGAAUUCCUGGUUUUGCUUUGCUUGGGGGAGCGAGCGAGCGGCUGUGUAGGGCUGAGUUGCCGGCUGAGGUUAAACCACGAAAACUUGCUACAUGCUUAAGUCUUGGUGGACAGAGGGAGAGUGAAAAGAGAAUCACGGCUGGUCUGGCUCAGGGCGUCUGCGCCUGGGUCCUGCCUCCACGCCGCUGCCCAGCUCUCGCUGGACUUCAGCGAUGCUCCUGAAAAGGACUUUGCUACCCUAGAGAAAGUAUGAACAGAGGCACACAGGAACAGACGCUUUCUCAGAAUUCAAAAAUUCUUUAUGUAAAACAUGGCUCUGCCACACAGCCUAAAUUUUGAAUGAGUUCUUAAACCACAGAAUAUCUCAUUUUCAGCUGGGUUUCAUGACUCUAUCAAAGAGGAAGUUAGCUGUGAGAAGCAUAUGACCAUGAGACUAUACUUGGCUGGACUGACAUCAAAAGAAGUGACUUUUGGGCACACACAGAUUUUUAAAAUCACUGCUUCAGUACAGUCACAUUUAGAUUUUUUUUUUUUUCCAGUGUAGACCAUAUAGUGAGCUAUUCUUGUGGACUGAACGACAUUCUAAGUCCCAUGAUGUAUGCAUGACACGGACUUGCCACUGCUGCUACAUUCCUUCAGUUCAACAGCCGUGUGAAAGCUGUAUCAUCCUGAGCUAAAAAAGGUCAAAAAAUAGCUUUAUCUCAAGAGAGAUAGCCUGCAAAUUAAUGCUUAGCCAUGUAAACUCAAAUCACAUGUGUGUGUAUUUAUAUGUAUAUGUAUAUAUAUAUGCAUACACACAAACAGAUAUAUAUACACAACAGCAUUGUAUUAUUCAAUACAGAUAUAUUUUAAUUUCAUUUUCUUAUAAUUAAAAAAAUAAAUAACACAAACAAGUCCAUCUCCUUUUUUUUCCUUAAAGAGCAGUAAAAGAACUAAGCAUAUGACAUAACAGAUUAAAUCUUGGGGAAUACACAA
This is a long non-coding RNA of Aquila chrysaetos chrysaetos, 978 nucleotides long. RefSeq lists it as uncharacterized. The transcript is spliced from 3 exons. The record is from RefSeq and is a predicted model, not a curated record. NCBI's taxonomy places the organism in Eukaryota, Metazoa, Chordata, Aves, Accipitriformes, Accipitridae.